GCGUUGAGCAGCAAAAUUAUUCGUAUAAUUCCGGGGAUUGGCCUGGAAGUCUCUACAGGGUCACCGUAAUGGCCUGGCUACGAUUAAAAAGAGCGAUUCC
Molecule: non-coding RNA, 100 nt
Filed under: Paenibacillus sp.
Lineage: Bacteria; Bacillati; Bacillota; Bacilli; Caryophanales; Paenibacillaceae
Also listed under: 1 other name
Description: Guanine sequence
Rfam family: Purine riboswitch aptamer
About the family: Riboswitches are metabolite binding domains within certain messenger RNAs that serve as precision sensors for their corresponding targets. Allosteric rearrangement of mRNA structure is mediated by ligand binding, and this results in modulation of gene expression. A class of riboswitches that selectively recognises guanine and becomes saturated at concentrations as low as 5 nM.
Source: RNAcentral